This 460-nucleotide ribosomal RNA is filed under the name uncultured bacterium. RNAcentral's name for it is "partial 16S ribosomal RNA". It matches the Rfam family "Bacterial small subunit ribosomal RNA", at positions 338 to 795 of the family's 1533-position model. The record is from RNAcentral.
CCUACGGGUGGCAGCAGUGAGGAAUAUUGGUCAAUGGGCGGAAGCCUGAACCAGCCAAGUCGCGUGAGGGAAUAAGGCCCUACGGGUCGUAAACCUCUUUUGCCGGGGAGCAAGGGCGGGGACGUGUCCCGUCCCGGAGAGUACCCGGAGAAAAAGCCUCGGCUAACUCCGUGCCAGCAGCCGCGGUAAUACGGAGGAUGCGAGCGUUAUCCGGAUUUAUUGGGUUUAAAGGGUGCGUAGGCGGGCUUUUAAGUCAGCGGUAAAAAUUCGGGGCUCAACCCCGUCCGGCCGUUGAAACUGGGGGCCUUGAGUGGGCGAGAAGAAGGCGGAAUGCGUGGUGUAGCGGUGAAAUGCAUAGAUAUCACGCAGAACCCCGAUUGCGAAGGCAGCCUUCCGGCGCCCGACUGACGCUGAGGCACGAAAGUGCGGGGAUCGAACAGGAUUAGAUACCCUUGUAGUC